UGGGGAAUCUUGGGCAAUGGGGGAAACCCUGACCCAGCGACGCCGCGUGGGGGAUGAAGGCCUUCGGGUCGUAAACCCCUGUUAGGUGGGACGAACGUCUUCUAGUGAAUAGCUGGAGGACCUGACGGUACCACCAGAGAAAGCCCCGGCUAACUCCGUGCCAGCAGCCGCGGUAAUACGGAGGGGGCGAGUGUUGUUCGGAAUUACUGGGCGUAAAGGGCGCGCAGGCGGCUUGGCAAGUCGAGUGUGAAAUCCCUUGGCUUAACUGAGGAAUGGCGCUCGAAACUACCACGCUGGAGGGCGGGAGAGGGAAGUGGAACUCUCGGUGUAGGGGGUGAAAUCUGUAGAUAUCGAGAGGAACACCGGUGGCGAAGGCGGCUUCCUGGCCCCGUACCUGACGCUGAGGCGCGAAAGCGUGGGGAGCAAACAGGAUUAGAUACCCUGGUAGUCCACGCCCUAAACGACGGGCACUAGGUGUGGGCGGUAUUAAUCCCGCCUGUGCCGUAGCUAACGCAUUAAGUG
Molecule: ribosomal RNA, 522 nt
Filed under: uncultured bacterium
Lineage: Bacteria
Description: bacterial SSU rRNA
Rfam family: Bacterial small subunit ribosomal RNA
Source: RNAcentral